GAAAGGUCUUAAAUAAAAGAAAUGUGCUUAUAUUAUAUUUCAAUCUUCUAAUUGGCCUGAAUCUAGAUAAAUUGGUAAUAAAUUCAGCAGAGACUACUAAAUGUCUGAUAUCAAUGUUAAUGAAGUGUUGUACAUUUUUCUACUUUCGGUGUUGGGAGCAAUUAAUAGGAAUAAACUUCAUUUUCUAAAGAGAUAACUUUUAUAUUAGCCACUGAUAUGAGGAUUCAUUCCUGAAAUAUUUAAUCAACACAAUACACAAUCUGUAUCACAAAUAACUUCAUUAGCCAGAUGGAAUACAUGUAUUAAAGCAAGAAAAUUUUAUAUCACUUUUUAUUUGAGCAAAAAAUUAUAACAAAAAUCUAUUGCUUCUUCAGCAUAAGUUAAUAAUCUGAUACAUAUAAAAGAUGUUAUCAAUGACGCAGAAUAUCAAUUCCAAUUUCUUAAUUUCAUUUCACCACUUUCCAACAAACAAAAUUUAUACUGAUAUACCCUGUAUUUUACAAUUUAUAAUUUCUCUUUCAUUAGUAUUUUAUUAGAUAAAAUUAUGUACUUUUUUACUUGUAAUCUGACAGCAAAUCUAUAUCUUUUUACAGUAUAAACAGCCUUUUUUUGCAUAAUCAAUAUGUCUUCAUCUAUAAAUACGAUAAGGCAUAUUUCAAGCAGAAAAUGUUUAUAAUGCAGGCAAUGGCUUAUUUAUACAUGUUAUAUAUAAGCAAUUACAUGUGUCAGGCCUAAAAUUUCUGCAGAGCAAAACUAUAAUUUUCUGAUUUCUACCCACCUUAAUUUGCAAUGAAAAGAGUAUAAAAUACUGAUUUCCUUACACAGAUUUUUGCAUUUAAAUUAUCUAAUUGUUGCAAUGGAAUAUAUAAUUUAUAAUUGUUGCAAUGAAAAAGUUUAAAUUUCUUAUGAUCUCCUUUUUUCUUUACUGCAAUUCGAUGGAAAAGUUUGAAUUUCUUAUUCACCUCCGAAAUUUCUGCAAUGAAACGGUAUAAAGAUAUGAAUCUUAUCCCCUUCCUGAUUUUUCUGAUUUCUUCCCUACAUUAACUGAUUUUAUUUCUGCUACAUCUAUAUUUGAAUGAGUUCAAUUUUGUGAAAUCUUUAGAAUAUACUGGCCUUUAAUUAUGUGCAUAUUUUUAUUAUAAAAUAGAAAUGAUGACAAUAUUACAACAACCUACAAUAAAAUAUGCAAAAAUAACAAGUGUACAGACAAUUGACUAGAUGUAUGGAAGAAUUUCAAUUGUAACCAAAAAUAGAUAUGGGAAGAUGUGGUAUUAGUGCCAAUGAGACAACUCUCCAUCCAAGUCACAAUUAUAUUAAGGCAAAUUAACAGUAAUAGAUGAUGUUUCAUAUUCUGAUCCACUUGACAUACAAAUUUCUUCAUGUUAAAAUUUAAGUAACAAAAUAAAGCAGUUAUCUAUUUUAUUUUGUUUUCUGAUAUACCUCUGAAUGAAUAUUCUCAAAAUAAGCAAAUGAAAUAGAUACAACAAGUUCAAAUUACUUAAAUUUGCAGGACAUUCAUUUUUAACUGUUUCUUAACCUUAACUGGACAUGAAUAGAAAUAAUUUUACAGUUCAAAUCUGCUUUGAUACUAAAUAUUUCCAAAAAAUCUCAUUCAAAUAUUAAUUUUAAUAUUGAAAUUGGGAAAACAUGUACCUUUUUUUUCCUAAAAAUUAGAUAACAUUUUCGUUUAAAAAUCCUCUUUGCAUUGAUAACAGAUAAACAAUUAAUAAAGUUGACGUUUGCAUUGGAUAUUGCUACAAAAGUAUAUAAAAAAUAUGAAAAACAAAUUAAAAAUGCAAAUGAGACAUUUAAAUGAUAACAUUGUAUGAAAAAACAAAAUGCAUUCAGUUACUGUGAAAAUAUCGCAAAUAUGUAAAAAUAUGAUGUGGCAAAAAUAGCAAAACAAAUAAUACAUUCUGACCUAUAUUAUGACAAGUCAAUUACAACAAGUUAACAACACUUCUGUGACAAUUAAUACAAUGUUAUGUCGGCUGUUCCAUAAAAAACAAGUAAAUACAAUGUUAUGUCGGCUGUUCCAUAAAAAACAAGUAAAUACAAUGUUUGCGGCUGUUCCAUAAAAAACAAGUAAAUACAAUGUUAUGUGGGCUGUUCCAUAAAAAACAAGUAAAUACAAUGUUAUGUGGCCUGUUCCAUAAAAAACCAGUAAAUACAAUGUUAUGUCGGCUGUUCCAUAAAAAAAGUAAAUACAAUGUUAUGUCGGCUGUUCCAUAAAAAAACAAGUAAAACAAUGUUAUGUCGGCUGUUCCAAAAAAAACAGUAAACAAUUUAUGUCGGCUGUUCCAUAAAAAACAAGUAAAUACAAUGUUAUGUCGGCUGUUCAUAAAAAAACAAGUAAAUACAAUGUUAUGUCGGCUGUUCCAUAAAAAACAAGUAAAUACAAUGUUAUGUCGGCUGUUCCAUAAAAAAACAAGUAAAUACAAUGUUAUGUCGGCUGUUCCAUAAAAAACAAGUAAAUACAAUGUUAUGUGGGCUGUUCCAUAAAAACAGGCAAAGCAGAUAGAAACAACUCUCCCAAACAGACAACACAGAAAAGUUCCUCCUAUACUGGCCGACAGUAAAGGCCCUCCUAAAUGGAGCAGACGGAAAACGCCCUUCAAAACUGAUCCUGUGAUCACUAAAGUACCAGGAUGUAACUAACUUAUUACCGAAUUAGUUGUGCAAAUUUUGGAUUUCAUCAGCAAACUAAGAUAUAAAACUAUGGAGAAGCAGAAUGAUUGUAAGGGAGACAACUAUACACUACAGUUCUAGUGGAUUAGACCAUUCAUAACUUCUUUACAAGAUGUCAAUAUAUCUAAUUUUUGUACUAAAUUGACAAGCUGAUGAAAAUAGUUAAAUCAAGUUAAAAAGGCGAUAGUCUGCAAAAAAGCAUCAUUCCAUUCAGAAACAUUAUUCAGACUCAGAACUGAAAUUUUUGUGCUCUUAAUCUAAAAUGGUGCAUGUCAGACCUAAAAUCUUUUUUAAAGUUACUUGCAAUUUUAAAGUCUGCUUUGACCUAUUCAGGAAUUUAGUCAAAAUCCUCCCACACAUGCUACCAUUAAACCAUGGGGGUUGUCUUGAAAAUGUCUGUACCAAGUCAGGAAUAUGACAGUUGUCCAUUUGUUUAAUGUGUUUUGUCAUUUGAUUUUGCCAUUUGAUUAGGGGCUUUCCAAUUGAAUUUUCCUCAGAGUUCAGUAUUUUUGUGAUUUUACCUUUUUCUUGACCAUUAAAAAUGUCUUUUUUACUACCUUAUAAUAUGUUUGAAUUGAACAGCCCUUAUUAUACACUAAAUCUAGAUCUCAUGAAUUCUUGUAGACCAAGUGAUCUUAGGUUUGCGUCAUAGCUUUCACUUUGUAGAGGGAAUAGCAUUCAGUAACCAUGAAGUACUAGUCAUCAAGACAUAAAAUAUGAAUAUGUAAAUUUAAUGUAACCAAAUAUUAAAUUAAUAUCUCUAAUCUAAUCAUUAAAAAUAAAGAUUUGCAUUAAACAUAAUUCAAGAUAAUAACCA
This 3505-nucleotide long non-coding RNA is filed under the name Mytilus galloprovincialis (Mediterranean mussel). Lineage: Eukaryota; Metazoa; Mollusca; Bivalvia; Mytilida; Mytilidae. The record is from RNAcentral.